RNAcentral lists this ribosomal RNA (253 nucleotides) under uncultured bacterium. RNAcentral describes it as "partial 16S ribosomal RNA". It matches the Rfam family "Bacterial small subunit ribosomal RNA", at positions 524 to 776 of the family's 1533-position model. The record is from RNAcentral.
UACAGAGGGUGCAAGCGUUAAUCGGAAUUACUGGGCGUAAAGCGUGCGUAGUCGGUUAUCUAAGUCGGGUGUGAAAUCCCCGGGCUCAACCUGGGAAUUGCAUUCGAUACUGGAUAGCUAGAGUUCGGCAGAGGGAAGUGGAAUUUCAGGUGUAGCGGUGAAAUGCGUAGAUAUCUGAAGGAACAUCAGUGGCGAAAGCGACUUCCUGGACCAGAACUGACGAUCAGGCACGAAAGCGUGGGGAGCAAACAGG